GACGAACGCUGGCGGCGUGCUUAACACAUGCAAGUCGAACGAUGAAGCUGGAGCUUGCUCUAGCGGAUUAGUGGCGAACGGGUGAGUAACACGUGAGCAAUCUGCCCUUGACUCUGGGAUAACUGCGGGAAACUGUAGCUAAUACCGGAUACGAGACUUGGAGGCAUCUCUGAGUCUGGAAAGAAUUUCGGUCAAGGAUGAGCUCGCGGCCUAUCAGCUGGUUGGUGAGGUAAUGGCUCACCAAGGCGACGACGGGUAGCCGGCCUGAGAGGGUCACUGGCCACCCUGGGACUGAGACACGGCCCACACUCCUACGUGAGGCAGGAGUGGGGAAAACUGCACGAGGGGUAAAAGCCUGAUGCAGCAACGCCGCGUCAGGGAUGAAGGCCUUCGGGUUGUAAGCCUCUUUUAGCAGGGAAGGAGCGAAAGUGACGGUACCUGCAGAAAAAGCACCGGCUAGCUACGUGCCAGCCGUCGCCGGAA
This 483-nucleotide ribosomal RNA is filed under the name uncultured bacterium. RNAcentral describes it as "partial 16S ribosomal RNA". It matches the Rfam family "Bacterial small subunit ribosomal RNA", at positions 28 to 523 of the family's 1533-position model. The record is from RNAcentral.